This 66-nucleotide small RNA is filed under the name Halobacillus sp. BBL2006. Its description in RNAcentral is "Bacillaceae-1 RNA". It matches the Rfam family "Bacillaceae-1 RNA". The record is from Rfam by way of RNAcentral. Lineage: Bacteria; Bacillati; Bacillota; Bacilli; Caryophanales; Bacillaceae.
CGGAAGCGAUGUUCAACUAAGUACGGCACGUCCUGUGCCAACAUUGAACUGAUCCUUCUCCAAGGC